UAUCCCAGCAUGCAUCUCUGCUCACUCAGACCACACCCCCAUGAGUAGGAUGCAACACUCUUGGGAUGGAGAUGUAGUGUUUUAUAAGUAACGAGGGAGCAGAUUUAGGGGAUUAGAACGUAAUGGAAUGUCAAGUCUGUAAAUCUUUAAACCAUGAAGAUGGUUGGAAAAGUCAGGAAUUGGGCUUAUUUUUAAUAUGGGCAGUCCUUUCACAUGGAUGCUCACUUCUCACUGGAAAUGUACAUGCGUUGGCUGGCUGGCAUGAUUUGCUGUUGGUGAUGAGGCGGUCAGGGUGAAGUUGCAGGGCUAUGGUCGGCUCUCUGUGAGCUCAACGUUUAGAUUUUCUCUGUAUGGUUUGUACCCUGAAUAAUCUAGAUAAUUGUAAAAUGUAGACACAGUUUUGCAUUGAAUGAUUCCAGGAUUUUAGGUUUAAAGUUGUUGUACAUGGUAGUUUGGUUCUUCGUAUGGUUUUGAGUGAUUAUAACUUGUACACACUGGGUGCAUAAUAAUGUAAUGUUACACUGAAUAGUAUUAAUGACCAACAGCAACAAACAGAUCUCCUCAAGGUAAGUCUGUUGGCUGUAUUUUAUUGAAGACCAUCGCUGGACUUCAGGAUCUUCCUCCGUUCAGCUCAAGGUGAGGCGCUGGUUAUGUUUUUUCUUUAGUUGGUUCCGGCUGGAAUGUUCGGAUUCCAGUCGGACGGUUUGUGCUUCCCGCCGUGGAAGGUUCUGAGUGCGGUCACUUGAUUUAGUCCCAAUGGUUAGCAUAGAAAGUUGUAGUCUUGACAACCAUAAGAACAUUGACACGAAUUUCGUCCAAUAUGUUAAUUUCCGAUGGUUGCGCCGUACUUUUAACCACGUUGACGGGACUCUCGCUGCGUACAAAACAGCGUUCUACUUGCGGCCCAAAUUUUGACAUCGGUGAAGGCUGAAAAUCAUUUCAAGGUGGAAGACAAUUUGACAUUUCUUCAAAGGAACCCAGCACCUGAAUAUGAGUUGAGUAAAUUUGAUUUAAUAUUGAUACUGCUUAGUGUUCAUUGUUACUUCACUGUUACUUGCUGAUAUAAACCUCCUGCUGUAGCUCAAAGGUGAGGCUGAGAGGCUUGGGACCGGAGGCUUGUGGUGCCAGGAUGGACCGGAGACUGAGGCUGGAGACCAGGGGCCUGCAGCACCGGACCAGAGGACCAGGAAUCCAUGGCUGAAGGAGCUGAUGGAGGAGCCGCGCUGAAGGCCCUGCCUGGUGGAGGAGCUGAUGGAGGCCCUGCCUGGUGGAGGAGCCAUGCUGAAGGCCCUGCCUGGUGGAGGAGCUGACAGAGGCCCUGCCUGGUUGAGGAUGUCUGUCGUGGGGACUCUGGUUUGGAGGAGCUGAUGGAGGAGCUGAUGGAGGAGCUGAUGGAGGAGCUGAGUCGCUGGAGGACGACUAGGAAUCGACCAACAAGGAUUCCUCAACGUGUUUCUGGAGCGGAGGCGAGCUGAUGGGGGAGCCGUGAAUCUGGAGGAUGACGUCAUCCUACCAACAAGGAUUACUAAGACUCUGGCUGAGGAGAGCUGAUGGAGGAGCCAUAAAACCAGGAAUCUGGAGGACUGACGGAGAAGCCGUACAUCUGGAAGGCAAAUCCUGAGGACGAUCAGGACUCUUCCAUCAAGGAUUCCUCACACACCUGAGCUGAACCUCACCUGAUCCUGUUUGGUCGGGGGCAGACGCACCUGAGCUGAACCCCACCUGAUCCGGACAUCCUGCUGGUCCCGUCUCCUCAGUUCAUCUGAGCCUCUUCCUCCAGAAGACAUGCUGAGCUCGGUGGUCUGAGGCUGAUGUAUCAAUGACCUCCAGUGGGAGUGAUCUUCUUGACCCCACAUGUAGCCGUGUGCUUCCACACGCCUUUCCCUCACGUCUGUCACUAACCUCAUUACUUCACUACUCUCUACUCCUUCCCCUUCUUCUUCCUUCUCCGUGGUUCGAACCUUUACUCUGAAGGAGUGUCUCCAUGAACCUUUACACUGAAGGCGCGUCUUCCUGUCCUCAGAGGGUUCAGCGUUAGGGUUGAGAGUCAGGGUUUAGAGUCAGGGACAGAGCUGGUCAGGGAGGGCUGGUUUUACAUAAACCUUUUCACUUGCUUUCUGAAUGGUGGUGACAUUUUGAAAAGAUUAAUUUGGGAAAAUGUUUUCCUCUGCUUUCCUUUACAAAAAUAUGUAUUAAACUUCUGUGUUUGUAACCAGACCAGGUAUCCAUGGCUGAAGGAGCUGAUGGAGGAGCCGGGCUGAAGGCCCUGCCUGGUGGAUGAGCCGUGAUGGAGGCCCUGCCUGGUGGAGGAGCCGUGCUGGAGGCCCUGCCUGGUGGAGGAGCCGUGCUGGAGGCCCUGCCUGGUGGAGGAGCCGUGCUGGAGGCCCUGCCUGGUGGAGGAGCCGUGCUGGAGGCCCUGCCUGGUGGAGGGGCCGUGCUGGAGGCCCUGCCUGGUGGAGGGGCCGUGCUGGAGGCCCUGCCUGGUGGAGGAGCCGUGCUGGAGGCCCUGCCUGGUGGAGGAGCCGUGCUGGAGGCCCUGCCUGGUGGAGGAUGUCUGUCGUGGGACCAGGACUCUGUCUGAGGAGAGCAGAUGGAGGAGCUGAGAUGCUGGAGGACAACUAGGAAUCGACCAACAAGGAUUCCUCAACGUGUUUCUGGAGCGGAGGCCAGCUGGUACGGGAGCCGUGAAUCUGGAGGAUGACCAUCACUCUACCAACAAGGAUUACUUUAGGGCCAGACUCGCGCUGUUUGUUCCAGACCAGGACUCUGCCUGAGGAGAGCUGAUGGAGGAGCCAAGACUCUGGAGGACAACAUCACUCCACCAACCAGGAUCCUCACCAGGAAUCUGGAGGACUGAUGGAGAAGCCGUACAUCUGGAAGGCAAAUCCUGAGGACCAGCAGGACUCUACCAUCAAGGAUUCCUCAUAAGUUUGCAUUAUCUGGACAUAGUGGACAAGACACACCUGAGCUGAACCUCACCUGAUCCUGUUUGGUCGGGGGUAGACACACCUGAGCUAAACCCACCCUGAUCCGGACAUCCUGCUGGUCCCGUCUCCUCAGUUCAUCUGAGCCUCGUCCUCCAGAAGACCUGCUGAGCUCAGCAGUCUGAGGCUGAUGGAUCAAUGACCUCCAGUGGGAGGGAUCUUCUUCUUGACCCCACUUGUAACCGUGUGCUUCCACACGCCUUUCCCUCACGUCUGUCACUAACCUCACUACUUCACUACUCUCUACUGCUUCCUCUUUUCUUCCUUCUCUGUGGUUUAAACCUUUAUACUGAAGGCGCGUCUUCCUGCCCUCAGAGGGUUUAGCGUUAGGGUUGAGAGUCAGGGUUUAGAGUCAGGGACAGAGCUGGUCAGGGAGGAAUGCUUUUACACAAACCUCUUGACUUGCUUUCGGAAUGGUUGUGACAUUUUGAAAAGAUUCAUUUGGUAAAAUCUUUUCCUCUGCUUCCCUUUACAAAAUUGUAUCAAACUUCUGUCAAGUGUUUUUGUUUAAAUAUUAAAAUCCCAC
Gadus chalcogrammus (walleye pollock) is the source of this 3510-nucleotide long non-coding RNA. RefSeq lists it as uncharacterized. The record is from RefSeq and is a predicted model, not a curated record. Lineage: Eukaryota; Metazoa; Chordata; Actinopteri; Gadiformes; Gadidae. The transcript has 12 exons.